CCUACGGGUGGCAGCAGUGGGGAAUAUUGGACAAUGGGCGAAAGCCUGAUCCAGCCAUGCCGCGUGUGUGAAGAAGGCCUUCGGGUUGUAAAGCACUUUCAGUGGGGAAGAAAGCCUUGGGGCUAAUACCCUCGAGGAAGGACAUCACCCACAGAAGAAGCACCGGCUAACUCCGUGCCAGCAGCCGCGGUAAUACGGAGGGUGCGAGCGUUAAUCGGAAUUACUGGGCGUAAAGCGCGCGUAGGCGGUCUGAUAAGCCGGUUGUGAAAGCCCCGGGCUCAACCUGGGAACGGCAUCCGGAACUGUCAGGCUAGAGUGCAGGAGAGGAAGGUAGAAUUCCCGGUGUAGCGGUGAAAUGCGUAGAGAUCGGGAGGAAUACCAGUGGCGAAGGCGGCCUCCUGGACUGACACUGACGCUGAGGUGCGAAAGCGUGGGUAGCAAACAGGAUUAGAUACCCUAGUAGUC
Molecule: ribosomal RNA, 465 nt
Filed under: Vreelandella stevensii
Lineage: Bacteria; Pseudomonadati; Pseudomonadota; Gammaproteobacteria; Oceanospirillales; Halomonadaceae
Description: partial 16S ribosomal RNA
Rfam family: Bacterial small subunit ribosomal RNA
Source: RNAcentral